This is a long non-coding RNA of Esox lucius (northern pike), 442 nucleotides long. The record is from Ensembl. NCBI's taxonomy places the organism in Eukaryota, Metazoa, Chordata, Actinopteri, Esociformes, Esocidae.
GUUGGCACUCAUUUAAUUUGUAUGUAAGCAUUCUGUUAUUGUUAGUUGACUGAGAUACUUGGUCAGCGGUCAGGUACUCUAACGUCUAGGCCAUCCUGUAAAUCCCUGUGUUAUUGUUAGUUGACGGAGAUAUUUGGUCAGCGGUCAGGUACUCUAACGUCUAGGCCAUCCUGUAAAUCCCUGUGUUACUGUUAGUUGACUGAGAUACUUGGUCAGCGGUCAGGUACUCUAACGUCUAGGCCAUCCUGUAAAUCCCUGUGUUAUUGUUAGUUGACUGAGAUACUUGGUCAGUGGUCAGGUACUCUAACGUCUAGGCCAUCCUGUAAAUCCCUGUGUUAUUGUUAGUUGACUGAGAUACUUGGUCAGCGGUCAGGUACUCUAACGUCUAGGCCAUCCUGUAAAUCCCUGUGUUAUUGUUAGUUGACUGAGAUACUUGGUCAGC